This is a long non-coding RNA of Vitis vinifera (wine grape), 2844 nucleotides long. RefSeq lists it as uncharacterized. NCBI's taxonomy places the organism in Eukaryota, Viridiplantae, Streptophyta, Magnoliopsida, Vitales, Vitaceae. The transcript has 3 exons. The record is from RefSeq and is a predicted model, not a curated record.
UCUAAAAUUCCUAAGUCCUUGCUCUCUCUUAUCUCUUUUCUUCUGUUCUCCUCUCUAUGUCCUUAUUGUCCUCAGGUUCUCACCUUCUCAUUCCAAACAAUUUUUUUUUUCCUGGUAGCACGGAAAGUGAAAGAAACUGGAGGUAGGAAGACGAGGCUCUUGUGUCUCAUCUAUGGUGGUAUCUUCCUGGAGUGGAAUCUAGGGCGCGGCGGAAGCCAUACGCUUGAAAGAAGGGGAAGUGAAAGGCGGAGGACUUUUGAGUUUUAUUGGCCGAGAAGCAAGGGCACGGUGUCUCUCUAUGGAUUUGGUUCGGUCUCGGUGUGGAAGCUCGGGGAAUCAGCUUUGUGGAUAGUGGUUUUGUGGUUGUGGGAUUUUGGAAACUCUAGAUUUGGUUCAGGGUAGGGUUGUGUGGUUGACUGAUUAGGUUGGGAGCUGGGCUGCGCAUGCGAUUGACUGGGUUUUCAUGCCGUCAAAACCACUACCUUGGGAUCGGAAGGACUUCUUCAAGGAGAGGAAGCACGAGAGGUCGGAGUCUUUAGGUUUGCUGCAAGAUAGAGGGACUCACAUCAAGUUUCUUGGGAGUUUGCUCGUUGGGAUCGGCAGAUUUUCGCCGCCCUACAGGACAGUUGGGAAUUCAUAGGAAGAUUUGUCCAGACAUGGUUAUUAUCUUUUGGCAGAAAAACUCAAAGAUGAGGGUGAGAAAAAGGUUGUUCAAGCAGUUUUAGUGAAACAUAUCUGGGUUAAACUAGUCAAAGAUAACUUGUACCAUCAGGACUCUCAAAACCUUGUUGUGGAGAGGUGUGAAGAGUGACCUAUGGCGCUUGUCACUUUGAAUGCUUUUGAUCUCAUCUUGACAUCUCAGGGUCUCAACCUCGGUACUCUCUUUGAAAAGCCAAUGGUACAUUGUAGCUUUGAUUGUUGUCAAGUUCAAUGAAAUAUUAAGAAUCUAAGUUUAUUUAUUUAUUUGUGUGUAAAGUUACAGCUUCUAAGUGAUAUAAUCAAGAAUAUCUUCAAGUGCCUAGGAUGAUCUUAGAUGCUUUACUUGUAGGUUCUAUUAUAUAAUAACUUAUGAGAUUACAGCUUGGUUUAUAACUCAGAAAUAAUUUUUUCACCUCUCCUCCACCAACACCACAACAACAAAAAUUAAGGAGUAAUUGUUGUCUCUCGUAAGUCAUAACAUAAGAAUGCUUUUGAUCUCAUCUCGACAUCUCAGGGUCUCAACCUUGGUACUCUCUUUGGAAAGCCAAUGGUACAUUGUAGCUUUGAUUGUUGUCAAGUUCAAUGAGAUAUUAAGAAUCUAAGUUUAUUUAUUUAUUUGUGUGUAAAGUUACAGCUCCUAAGUGAUAGAAUCAAGAAUAUCUUCAAGUGCCUAGGAUGAUCUUAGACGUCUUGAUCUCAAAAGCAUCUUACCUUUCACCAUUUAAUUGUUCAAAAGUCUAUACAGAUAAUUCUAUCAUUGUGUUCUAAUCUUUACUUGUAGGUUUUAUUAUAUAAUAACUUAUGAGAUUACAGCUUGGUUUAUAUAUCAGAAAUAAUUUUUUCACCUCUCCUCCACCAACACCACCACAACAAAAGUUAAGGAGUAAUUGUUGUCUCUUGUAAGUCAUAACAUAUGUUGCUUCAAAGUUACAGCUAGAUAACUAAAUGAGCUUUAGUUGUUUAUUUAGCUAUGAUCUUAUCCUAAACUUCCUCAUAAAUAUGAAGCCUGCAUCUAACAUAUUCUUUGGUCGCCAGUGCCUUAUUAAACAGGAGACAAUAUUUACAUCGAAGCGUCCUGCCAAUGAGAUUAUCUAAAAAAUUGAGAAAACUAUUAUGCCUUUGGUUUUUAAUGUAAAGAAAAAUAACUUCAAUGUCAAUAAGCACUAUCUUUUUCUAUUUAAGAUGCAAUUUGCCAUAACUCUUCUUCUUUACACAACUUUCCUUAGUGAUUUAGAAAAUUAUUAAUCAAAUUUGAGGUGCAAGAUGAGAAUUUGUAGAGUGGAUGAAUUGGUGCAAGGAAUAUGAGUAUUGCAUGCAUUGAAUCUUGAUUGCUUUGCUUGUGACCUCUAUAUUAUCUUGAGUAGGCUUCCUCCUAAUUGCUAAGUUUGGAAGAUUGAAUAGAACCGAUGCACCUUAAUUAGACUUGGUUAUAGUUUUCUAACUUUCUAUUUGGUCUGCAAAUAAAAUCAACCCAGGAUUCUUGACUUCUCAUGUCCAAAAUUUUAAUCUGAUGAUAGUCUCCCAAUGAUUAGUUUAGUUUGUGGCUUGUCUAAAUCACAUAUAUACUUGUCAGAGUUAUGUGGAACUAAAUGCUUGGCAAAAUUACAAAAAUACUCUUGAGAUUUUCAUGGAAUUGAAUAGUUAGUGAUGCAUGUCUUGAUUUGUUUGACAAAGUCAUAUGGUAUUAUUAUGCUCUGCUAAAACCUUUGCAACCUACCUUAGAUGAAACUUCAAGGGGAGAAAUUUGGAUGCAAGGGUCAUUUAUCUAUUGCAAUAGAGGCAUUUCUCUCCUAGUUGCCUUGUUUGCAGGAUCCCCUGACCAUGAGUUCAUUGGAACAUUACCUGAAGAUGUCUCAACUGGAUGUCAAUAAUUUACGUGGACAAAUUUUUGAAGUGGCCCUUUGCUAUACAUGGUCAAGCUUUGAAAAUCUGGGGGAGAUACUCUAGAAUUUCACAAGGUAUGUAUCUACUAUCUCAAUGCAAUUCUCAUAUUAAAUUAGAAUGAAUAUUGAAUUUUUAUCCCGGGCAGAUUGGUUGCCAAUAUCUUGUUUGAUACCGAAGCCCUACCCUCUUUUAUGUAAAAAGCAUGUGUGAUAAAAUGUAGUGAUGUUUAUGCUAAAACAAGCUUCUACUACUUAUCUUUAA